GUUAGCCAAAGGGCUACUUUUUGGAGAACCCUUCAUCAAGGAGCUCCAAAGGCACGUCAACCUCUAUGCCACCCUGAAUAAAUCCCAAUCUUCAAUGAGGAGGGUGUUCCACACUAACACCUCUCGUGUUUUGGCAGGGCUGGAAGGCAGCGGGGUCGUGCCUUCAGCUGUUUCUGGCCAUCGAGCCACCGAGGAUCAUCCUUCUUCCCCAGCUACCACUCUGGAUCUUUUAACUCCCAGAGGUCGUACCAUGGCAGAGGGAACCGGACACGCGGUAGAGGCAGAAUGCCCGCAGGUGAGACAUGUU
Non-coding RNA from Pelobates cultripes (western spadefoot toad), 307 nucleotides. The record is from the annotation of a GenBank genome assembly. NCBI's taxonomy places the organism in Eukaryota, Metazoa, Chordata, Amphibia, Anura, Pelobatidae.